GUUGCCUGCUAACAUUAAUUUCUUAACUGAAUAUGCAGGUUUAAAAAAAUAUUCUUCUGUGUAUUGAUUUUAAGGCAUUGAUGUUUAUGGUUAGGUACAUUCGUGCAACGAUUGUGCUUUUUUCACAAAUGCUCUUUUGUUAAAUCAUCCCCCGUUUGGCAAAGUUGGCUGUUUUUGUUAGGAAGAAAUAGUCUUGACACAGUUUGCAACGAGCCAGGCUUCCCAAACCGCUACAUAUACCCUAACUCUGUUGCACAGAAUGCAAGAGAAGUGACACAAUUUCCCUACUUAAAAGAAAUUCAUGUUAGUAGGCAAUAUUAACUAAAUAUGCAGGUUUAGAAAUAUAUACUUGUGUUUUGAUUUUAAGAAAGGUGUUGUUUAUGGUUCGGUACACAUUGGUGCAAUGACAGCGCUUUUGUCGCGAAUGUGCUUGUUAAAUCACCCGUUUGGCGAAGUAGGCUGUGAUUCAAUGAUAAAUUAACAGGCACCACAUCGAUUAAAUGCAACGCAGGACAAGCUAGAUAAACUAGCAAUAUCAUCAACCAUGUGUGGUUAACUAGUGAUUAUGUUAAGAGUUUUUUAAAAUAAGAUAAGUUUAAUGAUAGCUAGCACCUUACCGUGGCGCCUUGCUGCACUCGCAUAACAGGUAGUCAGCCUGCUCCUGGUGGAGUGCAAUGUAAUCGGCCAUAAUCGGUGCCCAAAAAUACAGAUUACCGAUUGUUAUGAAAAAUUAGGGUCGAUUUCAAGUUCAGCCAUUCCGAUUAAUCGGUCAACCCCUAAAAGAAACAGUGAACUUCAGAGCCAACAGGCGAAAAGGGAAAAAUGAUUGCGCCCGGGCCAAGACAAGAGUCGAGACUGAACCUCCUAUUUGCGUUCAAAGUGGAGAGAGCUUGCUAGCGAAGGGAUUCAAAACUGACCUGCUGAAAAGGUAAGACGUACCUUAGCUAAUGUAGCUAUCUUGCUAGCUAGAUAUAAAGUGAUGUGUUGCAUUUUAGUUGUAAAUAUGGAAGUGGGUGUUAUAGCUACUAUGGAUUACUUGUUUGGGUUGUUGUUAGCUAGCUGACUGCAACAGGCAUUGGUUUGUUUCAUUUUAAUUUAGACUAUUGCUUCGCUAUUUAGUUGUAGCUAGCUAUACGGUUGAAGUCGGGAGUUUACAUACACCUUAGCCAAAUACAUUUAAACUCAGUUUUUCACAAUUCCUGACAUUUAAUCCUAAUAAAAAAUCCCUUUCUUUGGUCAGUUAGGAUAGUUCACAUUCUUAAAAUAAAGUGGUUGUCAGAAUAAUAGAAAGUGAUUUAUUUCAGCUUUUAUGUCAUCACAUUCCCAGUGGGUCAGAAGUUGACAUGCACUCAAUUAGUAUUUGUUAGCAUUGCCUUUAAAUUGUUUAACUUGGGUUAAAUGUUUCGGGUAGCCUUCCACAAGCUUCCCACAAUAAGUUGGGUGAAUUUUGGCCCAUUCCUCCUGACAGAGCUGGUGUAACUGAGUCAGGUUUGUAGGCCUCCUUGAUCGCACACGCUUUUUCAUUUCUCCCCACACAUUUUCUAUAGGAUUGAGAUCAGGGCUUUGUGAUGGCCACUCCAAUACCUUGACAUUGUUGUCCUUAAGCCAUUUUGCCACAACUUUGGAAGUAUGCUUGGGGUCAAUGUCCAUUUGAAAGACCUAUUUGCGACCAAGCUUUAACUUCCUGACUGAUGUCUUGAGAGGUUGCUUCAAUAUAUCCACAUAAUUUUCCAGCCUCAUGAUGCCAUCUAUUUUAUGAAGUGCACCAGUCCCUCCUGCAGCAAAGCACCCCCACAACAUGACGCUGCCACCCCAAUGCUUCACGGUUUGGAUAGUCUUCGGCUUGCAAGCCUCCCUUCUUCCUCCAAAUAUAACGAUGGUCAUUAUGACCAAACAGUUCUAUUUUUGUUUCAUCAUUUUCUCCAAAAAGUACGAUCUUUUACCCCAUGUGCAGUUGCAAUCCGUAGUCUAGCGUUUUCAUUGCGGUUUUGGAGCUGUGACUUCUUCCUUGCUGAGCAGCCUUUCAGGUUAUGUCGAUAUAGGACUCGUUUUACUGUGGAUAUAGAUACUUUUGUACCUGUUUCCUCCAGCAUCUUCACAAGGUCCUUUGCUGUUGUUCUGGGAUUGAUUUGCACUUUUCGCACCAAAGUACGUUCAACUCUAGGAGACAGAACGCGUCUCCUUCCUGAGCGGUUUGACGGCUGCGUGGUCACAUGGUGUUAAUACUUGCGUUGUACAGAUGAACGUGGUACCUUCAGGCGUUUGGAAAUUGCUCCCAAGGAUGAAUCAGACUUGUGGAGGUCUACAAUUUAUUGGCUGAUUUUCCCAUGAUGUCAAGCAAAGAGGCACAGAGUUUGAAGGUAGGCUUGAAAUACAUCCACAGGUACACCUCCAAUUUACUCAAAUGAUGUCAAUUAGUCUAUCAGAAGCUUCUAAAGCCUUGACACAAUUUUCUGGAAUUUUCCAAACUGUUUAAAGGCACAGUCAACUUAGUGUAUGUAAACUUCUGACCCACUGGAAUUGUGAUACAGUGAAAUAAUCUGUCUGUAAACAAUUGUUGGGAAAAUGACUUGUCAUGCACAAAGUAGAUGUCCUAAACGAUUACCAAAACUAUAGUUUGUUAACAAGAAAUUUGUGGAUUGUUUGAAAAACGAGUUUUAAUGACUCCAACCUAAGUGUAUGUGAACUUCAAACUUCAACUGUAUGUAUCCUUGACCUUGUGUUAUAUUUCUGUCUGUGAUCUUAACAGUGCAUCUGAUUGGCUUACCAGCUACUUCACAAUAGUGGCACGGAAUAGCCAUGAUCAUCAUUUGACGACAAAGCUCUAAUUAGAAAACAUAUUUCAACAAAAAUGUUGCCGCCUUUUCAGUUAUAACAGGGAGCAAUCGACAUCAACACCUACCAAGUGUAGUGUGUUUCUAGCCCCACCAUUGUCAGGUAUUGAAUCAGAUCGGGAAGCGGGCUUUAGCAAAGUGUUUUUGGCCAUGUCUGUUCCAACUUUGUAUUUCCCCUAGCUGGCCAAGAACAAUAAUAUUUCUACUAAAAAUGAAGUAGACAUCUGCAAAUGCUAGGCAUCUAUGUGGCUAAGAUGUUUAGGAUAAUUAAUUACCCAGGAUUUUCUUUGAGUAAUGAUGGCAUACUAUCUCAAUAGAUGAGCUUAGUGCACAGAGAUAUGACCAUGUUAUUCCUCAUUUGAGCUAUCUGGCUGAGAUGUAGCCAGUCCUAGCCCGAAAGCUACACAUGUAUAGGACUGUGACAUUUAUAUUAAAUGACUGGAAACAUGAAUUAUGUUAUGCCUAGUAGCCUCCUCCAAUUAUCAUUAAUCCUAAACUGGAUGUAUUUACCCAGGAAAUAUAAGAUUGCUUAUCAUCAAAGGCAGUUCUGUCCCAGUUGUCAAAUGGUAAAAUUGAAUUUCAGAUUGGGAUUGAUGGAGCAUGUUAAAUUAAAUAAAAACUAUUAUCUCUAGGUCAGGGAUGGGUAACUCCAGUCCUUGAGGGCUUGAUUGGUGACACACAUUUGCCCCAGCUGACAGCUGACUUCAAUAAUCAACUAAUCAUAGUCUUCAGGUUAGAAUGCAAUUAGUUUAAUUAAUCAGGUGUGAUUUUCUUUUUUUUUAAUAAAGGGCUGGGGGAAAGUGUGGCACCAAUUAGCCCCCGGGGACUGGAGUUGCCCAUCUCUGAUCUAGGUCUACAUCUGAGCUGGAGUCAUUCUAGAACCACAUACUCAUUUACAUGGUUUACUUUCCCUCCUCUGGUAGAACUUGUAACCAUCGUCCAGCCUCAUGGAAUGCGGAGGGCAACUAAUCUACAGGAGACUCUACAAUAACAAGUCUCGAAGGUGAAGUGUCUAAGCAUUGACAACUUCAGAGGUCUACUAAACCUACAUCCCAGAACUUUAGAGAGCAGUGUUAAGACUGGGCUCUCAAUUGGUGCUACCAAGAAGAAUGACCCUGAGAUCAAAUGAACCAAGACUCCAUGAUGUGCCUCGACCAACAACGGCUGAGCUGCUACAACUUCAAGGAGAUAUCACCACGCAACACAGGAUGCAGUUAGCACACCUUUUGAAUGGGGAAGGAGCUUUCCCUCAUGUCAGACUUAGUGGUUCCUGGGAAUGUGUGAAAACAUUUCAGUACUCUGUAGGUUGUUGAAAGAGGGUGGCCUACAACCAAACAUGAAUCAUAUGUAAAUAAGGGAAGUUUGUGUGGGCAACAAACUUGUGUAUGAAACAAUAUUUGUGUAUUCUUUAUCUAGCAUAUAGGCAUCAUUAUUGUGGUUUUAGAAUUAUUUACUAAACUGGUUUCCUUUAUCUAUGCUCUGGAUGGUUUUCUCUUCAAAUUAGCAUACUUACACUAGGGCACUUAUCUAGAAAGAUGGACUACGCUGGUGUAAAUACAGUACAAAACAAGUCAGAUCACACAAAUCAUGUCAAAUAAACAUUUAUUAGGGAGAUAAAACAACCUAUUCUCUAACCUCCAAAAUAACAAAAGCGCAGUGUAAGAAAACAUACUUUUAAAAUAUAUAUUUGAAAUGCAAAACAUACAAACCUCAGCGAUAUCACCCUGCCCAGACCCACCUGCUCACAUCUCCAGUGCCUGCAUCACCCUCUGCCACAUGACCUCAAACGGCACCAUUUUGUUUCUCUCUGAUGUAAAACAUUCAGAUAAAGUACUGAACUGCUAUCACCCAGACCUAGGGGAAAAAAUCAAUACUCUAAGAAUAUUUUGAAGAUAAAUACACAAUGUAGAGACAGAAGACGAGCUGGGUUAUAACCUACAUCCUGUCCCUUUGUUCACUGGGGAGAACCACAGGAGAGGAUUGCUGAGGGAGCAUCACUGAGAACCAGGAGAAUGGACAUCUACCAUCUACCCCCAAGAUUUGUCCUAUUUGAAUAAACCUAUUUUCCUCCCCCUGA
Long non-coding RNA from Oncorhynchus nerka (sockeye salmon), 4911 nucleotides. RefSeq lists it as uncharacterized. The transcript has 2 exons. The record is from RefSeq and is a predicted model, not a curated record. Lineage: Eukaryota; Metazoa; Chordata; Actinopteri; Salmoniformes; Salmonidae.